This 623-nucleotide ribosomal RNA is filed under the name uncultured bacterium. Its description in RNAcentral is "bacterial SSU rRNA". The stretch from base 1 to 542 matches the Rfam family "Bacterial small subunit ribosomal RNA", at positions 338 to 873 of the family's 1533-position model. The record is from RNAcentral.
CCUACGGGAGGCAGCAGUGGGGAAUUUUGGACAAUGGGCGAAAGCCUGAUCCAGCCAUUCCGCGUGCAGGAUGAAGGCCCUCGGGUUGUAAACUGCUUUUGUACAGAACGAAAAGGUUUCUACUAAUACUAGGAGCUCAUGACGGUACUGUAAGAAUAAGCACCGGCUAACUACGUGCCAGCAGCCGCGGUAAUACGUAGGGUGCAAGCGUUAAUCGGAAUUACUGGGCGUAAAGCGUGCGCAGGCGGUUAUAUAAGUCAGAUGUGAAAUCCCCGGGCUCAACCUGGGAACUGCAUUUGAGACUGUAUAGCUAGAGUACGGUAGAGGGGGAUGGAAUUCCGCGUGUAGCAGUGAAAUGCGUAGAUAUGCGGAGGAACACCGAUGGCGAAGGCAAUCCCCUGGACCUGUACUGACGCUCAUGCACGAAAGCGUGGGGAGCAAACAGGAUUAGAUACCCUGGUAGUCCACGCCCUUAAACGAUGUCACUGGUUGUUGGUACUUAACUGACUCAGUAACGAGACGUAACGNGUAGAGUAGACGCGNGGAGGUAACGGCGCGAGUUAGUAACGUUACGAAGAAGUUAGAGGCGNGAGACGNGCGACGGACGACGACGAGGGAGGAGG